CCUACGGGGGGCAGCAGUGAGGAAUAUUGGUCAAUGGGCGCAAGCCUGAACCAGCCAAGUCGCGUGAGGGAUGACGGUCCUAUGGAUUGUAAACCUCUUUUGUCGGGGAGCAAGGCCCGCCACGUGUGGCGGGAAGGAGAGUACCCGAAGACAAAGCAUCGGCUAACUCCGUGCCAGCAGCCGCGGUAAUACGGAGGAUGCGAGCGUUAUCCGGAUUUAUUGGGUUGAAAGGGUGCGUAGGCGGAAGGUUAAGUCAGCGGUAAAAUGUCGGUGCGCAACACCGGCCUGCCGUUGAAACUGGUCUUCUUGAGUGAGCGAGAAGUAUGCGGAAUGCGUGGUGUAGCGGUGAAAUGCAUAGAUAUCACGCAGAACUCCGAUUGCGAAGGCAGCAUACCGGCGCUCAACUGACGCUGAGGCACGAAAGCGUGGGGAUCGAACAGGAUUAGAUACCCGAGUAGUC
RNAcentral lists this ribosomal RNA (460 nucleotides) under uncultured bacterium. RNAcentral's name for it is "partial 16S ribosomal RNA". It matches the Rfam family "Bacterial small subunit ribosomal RNA", at positions 338 to 795 of the family's 1533-position model. The record is from RNAcentral.